Daucus carota subsp. sativus is the source of this 455-nucleotide long non-coding RNA. RefSeq lists it as uncharacterized. The transcript is spliced from 3 exons. The record is from RefSeq and is a predicted model, not a curated record. NCBI's taxonomy places the organism in Eukaryota, Viridiplantae, Streptophyta, Magnoliopsida, Apiales, Apiaceae.
CGAGUCAUCUGUCAAGAUUAUUAAUGUUAGAAUAAAUAAAUAUAAAUAUAUUUGCAAUGGAUAAUAUAUAUAAUACACCCUCCUGCAUUACCUACUCCAUGUGAUGUCUGUCUCUAUUUCACAGGUAAUCAGAUUCUUGGUGGCAAAACGCAGGGGUAUCUUACGCCAUCAUAAAGAAGGCUACGUGGUGUUGAUAUGUCUGGUCCAAGCUAUCGUUUACCCGCGUCUAGGCUGCCAAAUAGAUCUGUAACCGGUUCCAAUCAUGGCAUUCAAUUCCAUAUGCCAGCGUCGACAAUAAGAAGGACCGUUGCUAAUCAAACUUCUGGUAAUAAACUUAAUAAUACCGGGUCUGUCAAUUUAUUGGACCGUCAUACCCCGGCAAAUACUACAAGUAUGUCUAGCCCUGAUUCGGAAAUCACUGUCCUGGUUCCUGAGCUUGUAAAAAUCGGUGUUAG